GGUCCGCACUGGUGUGAUGGAUUCCUACCUUCUGAAUAACCAGCAUGUCAUUAAUUUGGUGCGUUGGGGAAGCAGGACUGUUACCUUGAAAAAAUUAGAGUGCUUAAAGCAGGCUAGUGCCUGAAUACAUUAGCAUGGAAUAAUGAAAUAGGACGGCAUGGUUCUAUUUUGUUGGUUUCUAGGAUCACCGUAAUGAUUAAUAGGGAUAGUUGGGGGCAUUAGUAUUCAAUUGUCAGAGGUGAAAUUCUUGGAUUUAUUGAGGACUAACUUCUGCGAAAGCAUUUGCCAAGGAUGUUUUCAUUAAUCAAGAACGAAAGUUAGGGGAUCGAAGACGAUCAGAUACCGUCGUAGUCUUAACCAUAAACUAUGCCGACUAGGGAUCGGACGAUGUUAAUUUUUUAAUGACUCGUUCGGCGCCUUACG
RNAcentral lists this ribosomal RNA (423 nucleotides) under uncultured Glomeromycotina. RNAcentral describes it as "SSU rRNA". It matches the Rfam family "Eukaryotic small subunit ribosomal RNA", at positions 672 to 1092 of the family's 1831-position model. Lineage: Eukaryota; Fungi; Glomeromycota. The record is from RNAcentral.